GACGAACGCUGGCGGCGUGCCUAACACAUGCAAGUCAGGGAGAAUAGGGUAGCAAUAUCCUUAGUAAACCGGCGAACGGGUGAGUAACACGUAGAUAAUCAACCUUGAAGUUGGGGACAACCUCGCGAAAGCGGGGCUAAUACCGAAUGACACAACCGGUUCUUAUGGAUUGGUUGUCAAAGCUUCCGAGCGCUUCAAGACGAGUCUGCGUCCGAUUAGCUAGUUGGUGAGGUAAUGGCUCACCAAGGCUACGAUCGGUAGCCGACCUGAGAGGGUGAUCGGCCACACUGGGACUGAGAUACGGCCCAGACUCCUACGGGAGGCAGCAGUCGAGAGGCUUCCGCAAUGGGGGAAACCCUGACGGAGCGACGCCGCGUGGGCGAUGAAGGCCUGGUGUAAG
RNAcentral lists this ribosomal RNA (400 nucleotides) under uncultured bacterium. RNAcentral's name for it is "bacterial SSU rRNA". It matches the Rfam family "Bacterial small subunit ribosomal RNA", at positions 28 to 429 of the family's 1533-position model. The record is from RNAcentral.